GGGCCCGCACAAGCGGUGGAUUAUGUGGUUUAAUUCGAAGCAACGCGCAGAACCUUACCUAGGCUUGAAAUCCUCAGAAUUCGACGUAAUGGUCGAAGUGCCCGCAAGGGAAUUGAGUGACAGGUGCUGCAUGGCUGUCGUCAGCUCGUGUUGUGAAAUGUUGGGUUAAGUCUCGCAACGAGCGCAACCCCUAUCUUUAGUUGCCAGCAUUAAGUUGGGCACUCUAGAGAGACUGCCCGGGUUAACCGGGAGGAAGGUGGGGAUGACGUCAAGUCCUCAUGGCCCUUAUGCCUAGGGCUACACACGUAAUACAAUGCUACGGACAAAGGGCAGCAAACUCGCGAGAGCUAGCAAAUCCCAUAAACCGUGGCUCAGUUCAGAUCGUAGGCUGCAACUCGCCUACGUGAAGGAGGAAUCGCUAG
RNAcentral lists this ribosomal RNA (422 nucleotides) under uncultured bacterium. RNAcentral describes it as "bacterial SSU rRNA". It matches the Rfam family "Bacterial small subunit ribosomal RNA", at positions 917 to 1338 of the family's 1533-position model. The record is from RNAcentral.